UUUAUUCAGUUUCAAUAUUCAGAUUUAUGCUUUAAUAUAAUUACCGAUUCAAGUUUAAUUUUAUUCCAGUUUGAUACUCGUACCGUUUAUUCAUAUGCUCUGUUUAAUUUAUGAUUACUCUGUUUAAAUGUUUCGUUUAACUAAUAAUUAUUUAAUCAGUAUCUUGUCAAAUAAAAUCAUGCGCAGCUAAAUCUAUUUAACUGGAAUGUGGACUAGGAAGCUAAUCUGGAUUUGGUAAUUAAUCUGUGACUUACGUUUUUUUUCAAUCUAGUUUUCUGUUCAGUUUUUAAUAAUUAAAUUAAAAAUUUUGCACGAGAGUGAAAAUUAAUUAAGGUAUAAAUUAAUAGCGCGACAGUGUG
RNAcentral lists this long non-coding RNA (359 nucleotides) under Trifolium pratense (red clover). RNAcentral describes it as "long non-coding RNA (TPRA_LNC008373)". The record is from RNAcentral. Lineage: Eukaryota; Viridiplantae; Streptophyta; Magnoliopsida; Fabales; Fabaceae.